AUGAACGCUGGCGGCGUGCCUAAUACAUGCCAGUCGAGCGAACAGACGAGGAGCUUGCUCCUCUGACGUUAGCGGCGGACGGGUGAGUAACACGUGGAUAACCUACCUAUAAGACUGGGAUAACUUCGGGAAACCGGAGCUAAUACCGGAUAAUAUAUUGAACCGCAUGGUUCAAUAGUGAAAGACGGUUUUGCUGUCACUUAUAGAUGGAUCCGCGCCGCAUUAGCUAGUUGGUAAGGUAACGGCUUACCAAGGCAACGAUGCGUAGCCGGCCUGAGAGGGUGAUCGGCCACACUGGAACUGAGACACGGUCCAGACUCCUACGGGAGGCAGCAGUAGGGAAUCUUCCGCAAUGGGCGAAAGCUUGACGGAGCAACGCCGCGUGAGUGAUGAAGGUCUUCGGAUCGUAAAACUCUGUUAUUAGGGAAGAACAAAUGUGUAAGUAACUAUGCACGUCUUGACGGUACCUAAUCAGAAAGCCACGGCUAACUACGUG
Molecule: ribosomal RNA, 496 nt
Filed under: uncultured bacterium
Lineage: Bacteria
Description: partial 16S ribosomal RNA
Rfam family: Bacterial small subunit ribosomal RNA
Source: RNAcentral